Xyrauchen texanus (razorback sucker) is the source of this 488-nucleotide long non-coding RNA. RefSeq lists it as uncharacterized. The transcript is spliced from 3 exons. The record is from RefSeq and is a predicted model, not a curated record. Lineage: Eukaryota; Metazoa; Chordata; Actinopteri; Cypriniformes; Catostomidae.
UCAUCUUCCCACAGCUAGGGGCGGUAAACAGCAGCGUGAUCGAGAGAGAUCACUCAGCAAGAAGAACUGCAGCACUUCAUCAGUUCGGAUGUUGCACGAUUUCGCAAUUCAACGCGAUUCUGCGGUCGACACACAACAGUAAUUUUGAAUUAAGUCUGGGAAUAGUAGUAUUUGUUGUGACUGAAGUAGUCAGACUGAUCUGGACUAUGUAGUACGCAGUUAUCAGGUUUUAAAGACAGAAUAAAGAGUAAAUGAGAGGUGUCAGUCGGUCUGUUGUCAUAUGAAAUACUGGUGCAUGCUGUGGCAGAAGCGAUGGGCAGUGUUACAGCAAUGACAGUGUUUUUCCUCUGGACACAGCCAGAAUCAGACUGCAGGAUUGUCUCUCUAUCGUGGCUGGUUUCCUGUCAUAUCGAGUCUGUGCUGCUCUAACUUUGUCUACUUCUACACGUUCAACACACUGAAGAGGGGGAUGAUCUCGGACAAGUCCA